RNAcentral lists this ribosomal RNA (421 nucleotides) under Escherichia coli. Its description in RNAcentral is "partial 23S ribosomal RNA". It matches the Rfam family "Bacterial large subunit ribosomal RNA", at positions 2382 to 2802 of the family's 2925-position model. Lineage: Bacteria; Pseudomonadati; Pseudomonadota; Gammaproteobacteria; Enterobacterales; Enterobacteriaceae. RNAcentral also lists the same sequence under 2 other names. The record is from RNAcentral.
UGACGGCGCGAGCAGGUGCGAAAGCAGGUCAUAGUGAUCCGGUGGUUCUGAAUGGAAGGGCCAUCGCUCAACGGAUAAAAGGUACUCCGGGGAUAACAGGCUGAUACCGCCCAAGAGUUCAUAUCGACGGCGGUGUUUGGCACCUCGAUGUCGGCUCAUCACAUCCUGGGGCUGAAGUAGGUCCCAAGGGUAUGGCUGUUCGCCAUUUAAAGUGGUACGCGAGCUGGGUUUAGAACGUCGUGAGACAGUUCGGUCCCUAUCUGCCGUGGGCGCUGGAGAACUGAGGGGGGCUGCUCCUAGUACGAGAGGACCGGAGUGGACGCAUCACUGGUGUUCGGGUUGUCAUGCCAAUGGCACUGCCCGGUAGCUAAAUGCGGAAGAGAUAAGUGCUGAAAGCAUCUAAGCACGAAACUUGCCCCGA